UACGUAGGUCCCGAACGUUGUCCGGAUUUAUUGGGCGUAAAGCGAGCGCAGGUGGUUUAUUAAGUCUGGUGUAAAAGGCAGUGGCUCAACCAUUGUAUGCAUUGGAAACUGGUAGACUUGAGUGCAGGAGAGGUGAGUGGAACUCCAUGUGUAGCGGUGAAAUGCGUAGAUAUAUGGAGGAACACCGGUGGCGAAAGCGGCUCUCUGGCCUGUAACUGACACUGAGGCUCGAAAGCGUGGGGAGCAGACAGG
RNAcentral lists this ribosomal RNA (252 nucleotides) under uncultured bacterium. Its description in RNAcentral is "partial 16S ribosomal RNA". It matches the Rfam family "Bacterial small subunit ribosomal RNA", at positions 524 to 776 of the family's 1533-position model. The record is from RNAcentral.